RNAcentral lists this transfer RNA (77 nucleotides) under Pseudomonadota bacterium. RNAcentral's name for it is "tRNA-Met". It matches the Rfam family "tRNA". Rfam says of the family: Transfer RNA (tRNA) molecules are approximately 80 nucleotides in length. Their secondary structure includes four short double-helical elements and three loops (D, anti-codon, and T loops). Further hydrogen bonds mediate the characteristic L-shaped molecular structure. tRNAs have two regions of fundamental functional importance: the anti-codon, which is responsible for specific mRNA codon recognition, and the 3' end, to which the tRNAs corresponding amino acid is attached (by aminoacyl-tRNA synthetases). tRNAs cope with the degeneracy of the genetic code in two manners: having more than one tRNA (with a specific anti-codon) for a particular amino acid; and 'wobble' base-pairing, i.e. permitting non-standard base-pairing at the 3rd anti-codon position. The record is from RNAcentral. RNAcentral also lists the same sequence under 1 other name. Lineage: Bacteria; Pseudomonadati; Pseudomonadota.
GGCGGGGUAGCUCAUCUGGCUAGAGCGGCCGUCUCAUAAGCGGCAGGUAGAGGGUUCGAGUCCCUCCCCCGCCACCA